Molecule: ribosomal RNA, 458 nt
Filed under: Drawida ghilarovi
Lineage: Eukaryota; Metazoa; Annelida; Clitellata; Moniligastrida; Moniligastridae
Description: partial 16S ribosomal RNA
Rfam family: Bacterial large subunit ribosomal RNA
Source: RNAcentral
CAAAAACAUUGUUUCCUGUUAUUACUAUAGGAAAUACCUCCUGCCCAGUGAAAAUUUCAACGGCCGCGGUAUCCUAACCGUGCAAAGGUAGCAUAAUCACUUGCCCAUUAAUUGUGGGCUAGAAUGAAAGGAUAAACAAAAUAAAUUCUGUCUCUAUUAUUAUACUAAAAAUUAAUAUCUAAAUGAAGAAGUUUAGAUAAAAUUGAUGGACAAGAAGACCCUAUAGAGCUUUAUUUACAUUAAGAAUCUAUUUCUUAAAUAAAAUUUGGUUGGGGCGACCAAGGAAUAAAUUAAUCAUCCUUAUAACAAAGACUUAUUAGUCUUUACUAUGACCCUAUAAUAUAGAUCUAAAGAUCAAGCUACCUUAGGGAUAACAGGCUAAUCUUAUUUAAGAGUUCUUAUCUAAAAUAAGGGUUGGCACCUCGAUGUUGGCUUAGGAAAUCUUAAUAGCGCAAAAG